This 787-nucleotide ribosomal RNA is filed under the name uncultured Lactobacillus sp. RNAcentral's name for it is "bacterial SSU rRNA". It matches the Rfam family "Bacterial small subunit ribosomal RNA", at positions 28 to 776 of the family's 1533-position model. Lineage: Bacteria; Bacillati; Bacillota; Bacilli; Lactobacillales; Lactobacillaceae. The record is from RNAcentral.
GACGAACGCGGCGGCGUGCCUAAUACAUACAAGUCGAGCGAGCUUGCCUAGAUGAAUUUGGUGCUUGCACCAAAUGAAACUAGAUACAAGCGAGCGGCGGACGGGUGAGUAACACGUGGGUAACCUGCCCAAGAGACUGGGAUAACACCUGGAAACAGAUGCUAAUACCGGAUAACAACACUAGACGCAUGUCUAGAGUUUAAAAGAUGGUUCUGCUAUCACUCUUGGAUGGACCUGCGGUGCAUUAGCUAGUUGGUAAGGUAACGGCUUACCAAGGCAAUGAUGCAUAGCCGAGUUGAGAGACUGAUCGGCCACAUUGGGACUGAGACACGGCCCAAACUCCUACGGGAGGCAGCAGUAGGGAAUCUUCCACAAUGGACGCAAGUCUGAUGGAGCAACGCCGCGUGAGUGAAGAAGGGUUUCGGCUCGUAAAGCUCUGUUGGUAGUGAAGAAAGAUAGAGGUAGUAACUGGCCUUUAUUUGACGGUAAUUACUUAGAAAGUCACGGCUAACUACGUGCCAGCAGCCGCGGUAAUACGUAGGUGGCAAGCGUUGUCCGGAUUUAUUGGGCGUAAAGCGAGUGCAGGCGGUUCAAUAAGUCUGAUGUGAAAGCCUUCGGCUCAACCGGAGAAUUGCAUCAGAAACUGUUGAACUUGAGUGCAGAAGAGGAGAGUGGAACUCCAUGUGUAGCGGUGGAAUGCGUAGAUAUAUGGAAGAACACCAGUGGCGAAGGCGGCUCUCUGGUCUGCAACUGACGCUGAGGCUCGAAAGCAUGGGUAGCGAACAGG